GUGCUCGCUUCGGCAGCACAUAUACUAAAAUUGGAAGGAUACAGAGAAGAUUAGUAUGGCCCCUGCACAAGGAUGACAUGCAAAUUCGUGAAGCGUUCCAUAUUUAA
RNAcentral lists this small nuclear RNA (107 nucleotides) under Panthera tigris altaica (Amur tiger). Lineage: Eukaryota; Metazoa; Chordata; Mammalia; Carnivora; Felidae. The record is from RNAcentral.